UCCACUAGUUAGUUGGUAGAGCACAAAGCUCUUAACCUUGUGGACGUGGGUUCAAGCCCCAUGGUGGAG
Molecule: transfer RNA, 69 nt
Filed under: Triticum aestivum (bread wheat)
Lineage: Eukaryota; Viridiplantae; Streptophyta; Magnoliopsida; Poales; Poaceae
Also listed under: 1 other name
Source: Rfam by way of RNAcentral